This 421-nucleotide long non-coding RNA is filed under the name Musa acuminata (dwarf banana). RNAcentral describes it as "long non-coding RNA (MACU_LNC001028)". Lineage: Eukaryota; Viridiplantae; Streptophyta; Magnoliopsida; Zingiberales; Musaceae. The record is from RNAcentral.
GGUCGCGGGGUUCUCAACUUCAUGGCCGGCAGCCAAGUUGUCGGCUUCUUCGGCACCAGAGGCUUUCAUCUGGAUGCGGCGCCGCUUCUGCUCCUGCUGAGGCAUGUUGUAGACGGAGAGGGCCUGGUUCUUGGUCAGGGUUUCGAGGUCGCCAACGUAGGAGAGGCCAGAGGGGUCGGUGGCGUAGCCGUAUUUGUGGUAGGUGUUGUACUGCUCGUCGAAGAGGAAGGGCUGGAUGGCAGCGUCCUCGACGAAGCCGAGCUUGUGGUUGCGCAUGCCUUGGGCGACGCCGUCCUUGGCGAAAGGGUGGGCGGGGCCAUGGAUGGGUGCCCAGAGUUGGUCAUAGGUGGGGUUGAAGGUCACCGCGUGCUGCGUGGGGUCGAGCGGCCGGUGGAGGGCGCGGGCCGAGCCGGCAGCGGCA